GAGUUUGAUCGUGGCUCAGAUUGAACGCUGGCGGCAUGCCUUACACAUGCAAGUCGAACGGCAGCAUGAUCUAGCUUGCUAGAUUGAUGGCGAGUGGCGAACGGGUGAGUAAUACAUCGGAACGUGCCCUGUAGUGGGGGAUAACUAGUCGAAAGAUUAGCUAAUACCGCAUACGACCUGAGGGUGAAAGUGGGGGACCGCAAGGCCUCAUGCUAUAGGAGCGGCCGAUGUCUGAUUAGCUAGUUGGUGGGGUAAAGGCCCACCAAGGCGACGAUCAGUAGCUGGUCUGAGAGGACGAUCAGCCACACUGGGACUGAGACACGGCCCAGACUCCUACGGGAGGCAGCAGUGGGGAAUUUUGGACAAUGGGCGAAAGCCUGAUCCAGCAGUGCCGCGUGUGUGAAGAAGGCCUCGGUU
Molecule: ribosomal RNA, 417 nt
Filed under: uncultured microorganism
Description: bacterial SSU rRNA
Rfam family: Bacterial small subunit ribosomal RNA
Source: RNAcentral